This 254-nucleotide ribosomal RNA is filed under the name uncultured bacterium. RNAcentral's name for it is "partial 16S ribosomal RNA". It matches the Rfam family "Bacterial small subunit ribosomal RNA", at positions 524 to 776 of the family's 1533-position model. The record is from RNAcentral.
UACGGGGGGGGCAAGCGUUGUUCGGAAUUACCGGGCGUAAAGGGCUCGUAGGUGGCCAACUAAGUCAGACGUGAAAUCCCUCGGCUUAACCGGGGAACUGCGUCUGAUACUGGUUGGCUCGAGUUUGGGAGAGGGAUGCGGAAUUCCAGGUGUAGCGGUGAAAUGCGUAGAUAUCGGGAGGAAUACCAGUGGCGAAAGCGACACCCUGGCACUGUGCCUGACGCUCAUGUGCGAAGGCGUGGGGAGCGAACGGG